GCCAAAAUAGCUCAGUUGGGAGAGCGUUAGACUGAAGAUCUAAAGGUCCCUGGUUUGAUCGUGGGUUUUGGAA
Papio anubis (olive baboon) is the source of this 73-nucleotide non-coding RNA. Lineage: Eukaryota; Metazoa; Chordata; Mammalia; Primates; Cercopithecidae. The record is from Rfam.